RNAcentral lists this non-coding RNA (159 nucleotides) under Triticum aestivum (bread wheat). Its description in RNAcentral is "rRNA LSU_rRNA_eukarya". It matches the Rfam family "Eukaryotic large subunit ribosomal RNA", at positions 2826 to 2984 of the family's 3401-position model. RNAcentral also lists the same sequence under 1 other name. The record is from Rfam by way of RNAcentral. Lineage: Eukaryota; Viridiplantae; Streptophyta; Magnoliopsida; Poales; Poaceae.
AUAACUGGCUUGUGACAGCCAAGUGUUCAUAGCGACGUUGCAUUUUGAUCCUUAGAUGUCGGCUCUUUCUAUCAUUGUGAAGCAGAAUUCACCAAGUGUUGGAUUGUUCUUCCACCAAUAUGGAACGUGAGAUGGGUUUAGGUCGUAAUGAGACAGGUU